Molecule: ribosomal RNA, 235 nt
Filed under: uncultured bacterium
Lineage: Bacteria
Description: partial 16S ribosomal RNA
Rfam family: Bacterial small subunit ribosomal RNA
Source: RNAcentral
UGGCGGACGGGUGAGUAAUGUCUGGGAAACUGCCCGAUGGAGGGGGAUAACUACUGGAAACGGUAGCUAAUACCGCAUAACGUCGCAAGACCAAAGAGGGGGACCUUCGGGCCUCUUGCCAUCGGAUGUGCCCAGAUGGGAUUAGCUAGUAGGUGGGGUAACGGCUCACCUAGGCGACGAUCCCUAGCUGGUCUGAGAGGAUGACCAGCCAUACUGGAACUGAGACACGGUCCAG